Molecule: unclassified non-coding RNA, 1738 nt
Filed under: Leishmania donovani
Lineage: Eukaryota; Euglenozoa; Kinetoplastea; Trypanosomatida; Trypanosomatidae
Description: gene:LdHU3.33.0180(CDS-product:Protein_of_unknown _function_(DUF1762)_putative)
Source: RNAcentral
GAGGGGGAAAACUACAGAGGCACGCAUUCGACCCCGCUCCGCGUGCAGGUAUUCGAAGCCUUCUCUACUGGUAUAACCUCUGUGCAGUAGCGAGCCCCACCGUCCCCUCUCCCAGUGCGCAGAAAGCACAUGGAUAAGUUGCUCGCGUCUCUGCCUGUUUAGGUGUUUUUUCGCUCAUGACGACGACGGCAACUCUCACGCGUCAACCACGCCUCCUCACACUCGCACAACCUCUCUGUGCGAUAUCUAUGUCGACUCCCACCCGCACUGGGGGCGACGCGUGCCAGCCGCGGGUUUAUCUCAAGGUGAGCCGCAAGCGAUGCCGUGAUGGGUUUGUUGAAGAGGCGGCACCGCCCACUCUCGUACGGGUGCAGUGGGACAGCGCGGAAAUGGGCCCCUUGCCGCCAGUCCUGCACGCUACUCUUUCCUGUCGCACCAAGUUUAUCUUUCGCCGUCUACGUCACUUGGGCGCGGAGCAGUCGACGGGAAUGGCAAAGGCGCUGAUGCCGCAGGUUUCUACGAAUCGGCAGACGCGACCGUUCCGCUCGCCAGUGGAGCGUGUCACCGCGAGUGGGCAGUGCGUGGUAAUCGAGUGCGGUGAUGGUGUCUCUCGCGUAGACGACGGUGCUGCUGUGGUGGAGCUCUUUACUUUGGAUUCUGAGGCGACGGAGGAGGAUACCAUGGUGGAGGCAUUUGGCGAGUUCGCCAUAACGGAAGACGAUCUCGUCGGAUGCACUCGAAGCAGUCUGAAGCGUGGCAGAGUCGAGGAAGACGAGGAUCUCCCCUGCUACUUCCUCGCGCCACGGCGCUGCACCUGCAGCGUUGGCGGCCACAGCAGUGCGGAUGCUAAUUUGGUCUCGGCGUCUCCCUCGCGCUGGGGUGCGGUGGAAACGGAUGCUGACGGAGCAAUGUGGCGGCUCCUGCAGGAAUACGAUGAGCUGUUGUGCGUGGAGGCCAUAGGUGAUGCUACGGAGGACCUCUACUGUUACCCAGAUCACCGUAAAGACGACGAGUUCGAUAGCAACGCUGAGGACUUUUCGGGUAAUGACUAUCCGGACGACGCCGAUGGCCGGAGUGGUGAGUCCGCGGAAAGGGCGGAGGACGAGGCGUCCGGCUCUUCCACAGGCCGGCGGCGAGGCCGCUUGGCAUCGCGCAGCACAUAUGGCAUGCUCUGCGAAGAGGGCUACAGUGAGCGAAGUCUCAGCAGCGGGUGGAACAGCGACGAUUAAGAUAGGAGUUGCAGUGCUUUCUUUUCGUUUCUCUUCGGCUCGUUGCGUAUUCGCCGUGCGCAGCAUCUGCUGCUUCUCACAUCCAUCUUUCGACGAACAGAAAUGGAACACACAACGGCAAGUUACAGAAUCCGUGCGGGCAGCGGUGAAGUAGGACAACAUUUUGCAUCGGAGUACCUCGGUCACCCGCAUGUGCCGCUUGAGGCGCUUGAGUGGUAGAUGCGGAUAGAGUAGGGAGGGACCACGAUGGCGAUACAGAAAAUCUCUUCCGAACCCUCUGCGUCUCCCCUUUCCGCUUCUGCUUCGUGUGUGUGUGUGUUUAAUUGCACGUGUGCAUCCGCAGCCGACACGCGUGGCGCCCAUUGUUUGUGUGGCACUCGAGCGCUCGCUCGUUUUUUAUCCUUUUAUAUUCCAUUCUCGUAUCUCCCUGUACCUUCUCUAUUCUGACCGCGCACAUACAUCUGCACCUGUGUACAUAUAUAUACGUGUAUGUAUGCGUGUGUGUGUAG